This 489-nucleotide ribosomal RNA is filed under the name Escherichia coli. Its description in RNAcentral is "bacterial SSU rRNA". It matches the Rfam family "Bacterial small subunit ribosomal RNA", at positions 1 to 479 of the family's 1533-position model. Lineage: Bacteria; Pseudomonadati; Pseudomonadota; Gammaproteobacteria; Enterobacterales; Enterobacteriaceae. The record is from RNAcentral.
AAAUUGAAGAGUUUGAUCAUGGCUCAGAUUGAACGCUGGCGGCAGGCCUAACACAUGCAAGUCGAACGGUAACAGGAAGCAGCUUGCUGUUUCGCUGACGAGUGGCGGACGGGUGAGUAAUGUCUGGGAAACUGCCUGAUGGAGGGGGAUAACUACUGGAAACGGUAGCUAAUACCGCAUAACGUCGCAAGACCAAAGAGGGGGACCUUCGGGCCUCUUGCCAUCGGAUGUGCCCAGAUGGGAUUAGCUAGUAGGUGGGGUAACGGCUCACCUAGGCGACGAUCCCUAGCUGGUCUGAGAGGAUGACCAGCCACACUGGAACUGAGACACGGUCCAGACUCCUACGGGAGGCAGCAGUGGGGAAUAUUGCACAAUGGGCGCAAGCCUGAUGCAGCCAUGCCGCGUGUAUGAAGAAGGCCUUCGGGUUGUAAAGUACUUUCAGCGGGGAGGAAGGGAGUAAAGUUAAUACCUUUGCUCAUUGACGUUACC